This 464-nucleotide ribosomal RNA is filed under the name Vicia faba (fava bean). Its description in RNAcentral is "eukaryotic LSU rRNA". The stretch from base 290 to 464 matches the Rfam family "Eukaryotic large subunit ribosomal RNA", at positions 1 to 175 of the family's 3401-position model. The record is from RNAcentral. Lineage: Eukaryota; Viridiplantae; Streptophyta; Magnoliopsida; Fabales; Fabaceae.
CGAGGGGACCUCAGAGUCUUUUGACGCACGUUGCGCCCGAUGCCAUUAGGUUGAGGGCACGUCUGCCUGGGUGUCACAUAUCGAAGCCUCCUUGCCAAUUUCCCUGAUUAUUGUGCAGGGUGGAUGUUGGCCUCCCGUGAGCUCUUUCGUCUCAUGGUUGGUUGAAAAUUGAGACCUUGGUAGGGUGUGCCAUGAUAGAUGGUGGUUGUGUGACCCACGAGACCAAUCAUGCGCUGCUCUAUUGAAUUUGGCCUCCUUUACCCAUAUGCGUUUCCAAACGCUCGUGAUGAGACCUCAGGUCAGGCGGGGCUACCCGCUGAAUUUAAGCAUAUCAAUAAGCGGAGGAAAAGAAACUAACAAGGAUUCCCUUAGUAACGGCGAGCGAACCGGGAUAAGCCCACCAUGAGAAUCGGUCGCCCUCGGCGUUCGAAUUGUAGUUGAAAAAAAACCGUCAAAAAUUAAAU